UUACAAAUGCCAUAUUGGCUCUGUGACUCUACAUCACCAAUGCCGAACGGCCGAUUUUGAACUUAGCUGCAACAUCUAUAAGAAAAGUAUAUACAAGAAAACAGGUUCGUCAAAAGAAGCACGCACCACAGUGAUACAAGUUAACAAAAUAACUAUAACAUACAAAAAGAAUGCACCACAUUUGUAAACCUCCACCGAAUUACCAGAUUCCCCACGUCACAUACUAUAUUUAGUAACAUAAUUACAUGCUUAAAUAACAGCAUUUCAAGGUUGUCAGAAUCAAGAAUUUGCAUCAGAUCAAAAGGGGAUAGCAAGCUCGUAAAACAUAAAAUCGCAACCAAGAUCAAAGGAUCCUACCAAAACAAAAUAAGUACUAAAUAUAUAUAUUAUACAAUGCAUAAAUUAGUCUAACUUUCAAAUCUUAAACAAACAUAUGACAAUCAAGUCUCAAAUCCUAAACAUAAACAAUUCAGAGCCUCAAAUCUUAAACAUAAAACAACCUAGCCAUAAAGCUUAAACAUAAACGACUCAAAACCAGGAUCAUUAGAAUCAUAGGAAUCGCACGAUUUCCUGUUUUCAUGCGACUUUGCAGGGAUUUUGCUGAAAAUCAAGGUUUCCAUGAUUCUCAUCGAUAUUAUGACAAUGAUUUUUUGCAUUUUCCUUGGAUUAGUCAUUUUCUCAACAUUUUAUAGUUGAGAAAAUUAUGUCAUUUUCUCAACUUAUGUUUGGUGUAGGGUGUCAGUGUCUGUGGUUAGUAGGCAUUUUUCAUAAUAGUCCUAAUCAGCCUUCCAUUAGGGGGUAAAUACUUGAUACCAUAAAUUAAACAUGCAGCACCGGUGGUAAAAAAAAACUAACAAUUUUACAGAAAAGAUAAAUUGUUUAAUUAGUUAGAUCAACAGAAUUACGCAAAAUCAUGAAUUAGGCAUAAGAUAUAGCUGAAACUGAAACUAACGGAACAGAGUAAAACAUGCAAACAGAGUAAGUUGUGGAAAAGUGAAAGAAAAAAAAAACAUAAAAUUAAGCGUAAUUCGUUUUUCAAUUGUUCAUGGAUGCAUAGAGUGAUAAGAUAAGAAGCGAUUUGAAUACCUAGGGUUCUUCUGGAAGGGUGCAAUUUGAAGGGGUAGAGCACCCAACCAGCGAGUAGUGUUUGACGUUCUCAGCUGGAAACUUAGUGCUUGUUUGGUAUCAAGUCUGAUAGCCUCAAAAGCCAGUUUGUUUUUUGAAACGCUGUUUCAACAUACUUUUGAUGUUUGGAUGGGUUUCAGAAUCAAUUCUCUGAAACGCGGAUUUGGCCCCAAACGUGGGUUUUCUCAAAGCUAUAAAUUGAAGCUUUCACGGCAAAGCAAAAUCUGAAUCAAACAAUUUGUUUUUCAAUGACAUGUAAAUUUACAUAAUUACCCAUAUUACAAGUUAACAACUUUCUUCUUCACAAACACACACCUUCGAUACAGAUCUAUCUUCCCCUCUGUGAGCUUGAGGCCAAUGAGACCAGUACUGAGUGAUGGAGAAAUGGUCGGAUGGAAGAAAAAUAGUGAGAUAGGGGAGAAGAAAGGUUAGAAGCGAGGUGAGAAGGAG
RNAcentral lists this long non-coding RNA (1575 nucleotides) under Medicago truncatula (barrel medic). Its description in RNAcentral is "long non-coding RNA (MTRU_LNC001065)". The record is from RNAcentral. Lineage: Eukaryota; Viridiplantae; Streptophyta; Magnoliopsida; Fabales; Fabaceae.